This 28-nucleotide small RNA is filed under the name Bombyx mori (domestic silkworm). Its description in RNAcentral is "ovarian small RNA-17913". The record is from RNAcentral. Lineage: Eukaryota; Metazoa; Arthropoda; Insecta; Lepidoptera; Bombycidae.
GUGGCGGAUAACGGGGUCCUCUGGGAAC